This 83-nucleotide transfer RNA is filed under the name Atopobium minutum 10063974. It matches the Rfam family "tRNA". Rfam says of the family: Transfer RNA (tRNA) molecules are approximately 80 nucleotides in length. Their secondary structure includes four short double-helical elements and three loops (D, anti-codon, and T loops). The record is from Rfam by way of RNAcentral. Lineage: Bacteria; Bacillati; Actinomycetota; Coriobacteriia; Coriobacteriales; Atopobiaceae.
GCGGGCGUGGUGGAACUGGUAGACACGCUAGAUUUAGGUUCUAGUGGGUAACCCCCGUGAAGGUUCGAGUCCUUUCGCCCGCA